RNAcentral lists this ribosomal RNA (250 nucleotides) under uncultured bacterium. Its description in RNAcentral is "partial 16S ribosomal RNA". It matches the Rfam family "Bacterial small subunit ribosomal RNA", at positions 524 to 773 of the family's 1533-position model. The record is from RNAcentral.
UACGUAGGUGGCAAGCGUUAUCCGGAAUUAUUGGGCGUAAAGCGCUCGCAGGCGGUUCUUUAAGUCUGAUGUGAAAGCCCACGGCUCAACCGUGGAUCGCCAUUGGAAACUGGGGAACUUGAGUGCAGAAGAGGAGAGUGGAAUUCCACGUGUAGCGGUGAAAUGCGUAGAGAUGUGGAGGAACACCAGUGGCGAAGGCGACUCUCUGGUCUGUAACUGACGCUGAGGAGCGAAAGCGUGGGGAGCAAAC